GGGCGAAGUAGGGGCGUGGCAGGAGCCCCGCUCCGCGGAUCCAGGUUGAAAUUCCUCCCUCCUGGAAUCCGACCGUGAGCAUUUCUGAGCGGUGGUGAGGAGGAGGCCACCAAGACACCUCCCUCCCGCUGUGCAAAGGAACGCAGGAGCCCGGCGCAGAUGGAAACCUUUUGAGAAGAGAGACCAGGACUGCUUGAUCUUAAAUUCCCUCUCAGUGUCUGGCUCCCUGUGGUGGUCACUAAAUAACGGCUGGCUAAGUGAUAGCUCUAUAACAGCUCUAUCUAAAUAUUACUACGCAAUAUUUAUCACAUGUUCACUAUGUACCAGGAAUUUGCUACAUAUUCUACAGGUAUUAUCUCAUUCAUUUUUAUAAAAAUCUAAAAAUUAUUAUGGUUUAA
RNAcentral lists this long non-coding RNA (398 nucleotides) under Pan troglodytes (chimpanzee). RNAcentral's name for it is "lncRNA (ENSPTRG00000054139.1)". The record is from RNAcentral. Lineage: Eukaryota; Metazoa; Chordata; Mammalia; Primates; Hominidae.